CAAGUCGUGCGAGAAAGGGCUUCGGCCCCAGUAAAGCGGCGCACGGGUGAGUAACACGUAGGUAAUCUUCCCCUGAGUGGUGGAUAACCCUCCGAAAGGAGGGCUAAUACAGCAUGAGACCACGAUUUCGUUGAGAUUGCGGUCAAAGCAGGCCUCUUCAUGAAAGCUUGCGCUCUAGGAUGAGCCUGCGGCCCAUCAGCUAGUUGGUAAGGUAACGGCUUACCAAGGCUAAGACGGGUAGCUGGUCUGAGAGGAUGAGCAGCCACACUGGAACUGAAACACGGUCCAGACUCCUACGGGAGGCAGCAGUAGGGAAUCUUGCGCAAUGGACGAAAGUCUGACGCAGCGACGCCGCGUGAGCGAUGAAGGCCUUCGGGUUGUAAAGCUCUGUGGGGAGAGACGAAUAAGGCAUGGCUAACAUCCAUGUCGAUGACGGUAUCUCCUUAGCAAGCACCGGCUAACUCUGUGCCAGCAGCCGCGGUAAGACAGAGGGUGCGAACGUUGUUCGGAAUUACUGGGCGUAAAGCGCGUGUAGGCGGCAAUGCAAGUCGGGCGUGAAAUCCCACGGCUCAACCGUGGAAGUGCACUCGAAACUGCAUAGCUAGAGUCCUGGAGAGGAAGGUGGAAUGCUUGGUGUAGAGGUGAAAUUCGUAGAUAUCAAGCGGAACACCGGUGGCGAAGGCGGCCUUCUGGACAGUGACUGACGCUGAGACGCGAAAGCGUGGGGAGCAAACAGGAUUAGAUACCCUGGUAGUCCACGCCGUAAACGAUGAGUGCUAGGUGUCACGGGCUUUGACCCUCGUGGUGCCGAAGCUAACGCGUUAAGCACUCCGCCUGGGGAGUACGGCCGCAAGGCUAAAACUCAAAGGAAUUGACGGGGGCCCCGCACAAGCGGUGGA
RNAcentral lists this ribosomal RNA (899 nucleotides) under uncultured delta proteobacterium. RNAcentral describes it as "bacterial SSU rRNA". It matches the Rfam family "Bacterial small subunit ribosomal RNA", at positions 58 to 936 of the family's 1533-position model. The record is from RNAcentral. Lineage: Bacteria; Deltaproteobacteria.